AAGGAUCGCCUCAGCUCCCCCUCU
Molecule: small nuclear RNA, 24 nt
Filed under: Arabidopsis thaliana (thale cress)
Lineage: Eukaryota; Viridiplantae; Streptophyta; Magnoliopsida; Brassicales; Brassicaceae
Description: snRNA_14028
Source: RNAcentral